UCUCCGUUGGUGAACCAGCGGAGGGAUCAUUAUAGAGUUUUUAACUCCCAAACCAUUGUGAACUUACCACUGUUGCCUCGGCGGAAGCUACCCGGUACCUACCCUGUAGCCCCGCCGGUGGACCUUUAAACUCAUGUUAUUUUAAUGAUAUCUGAGCGUCUUAUUUUAAUAAGUCAAAACUUUCAACAACGGAUCUCUUGGUUCUGGCAUCGAUGAAGAACGCAGC
RNAcentral lists this unclassified non-coding RNA (226 nucleotides) under uncultured fungus. Its description in RNAcentral is "sequence contains ITS1, 5.8S rRNA gene". The stretch from base 178 to 226 matches the Rfam family "5.8S ribosomal RNA", at positions 1 to 49 of the family's 154-position model. The record is from RNAcentral. Lineage: Eukaryota; Fungi.